This is a long non-coding RNA of Thalassophryne amazonica, 91 nucleotides long. RefSeq lists it as uncharacterized. The record is from RefSeq and is a predicted model, not a curated record. NCBI's taxonomy places the organism in Eukaryota, Metazoa, Chordata, Actinopteri, Batrachoidiformes, Batrachoididae. The transcript has 3 exons.
AGCAAUUUGAGCAGGACUCACGGAGAUCAGAAUGCAAAUGUGGCUAGAAUCCGGGUAGUUCAGGGAUCAUGAUGUCAGACUUCUUCACUAU